GAGGGGAUGCCGGAGCGGUCAAACGGGCUACGUUUAGGCCGUAGUGGUUUUUGCCUACGGGGGUUCGAAUCCUCCUCCCCUCA
Molecule: transfer RNA, 83 nt
Filed under: Candidatus Pacearchaeota archaeon
Lineage: Archaea; Nanobdellati
Description: tRNA-Leu
Rfam family: tRNA
About the family: Transfer RNA (tRNA) molecules are approximately 80 nucleotides in length.
Source: RNAcentral